GGAGAGAUGGCAGAGUGGUUAAAUGCGACGGUCUUGAAAACCGUUAAGGAGAAAAUCUCCUUCCAGGGUUCGAAUCCCUGUCUCUCCG
RNAcentral lists this transfer RNA (88 nucleotides) under Coxiella endosymbiont of Amblyomma americanum. RNAcentral describes it as "tRNA-Ser (TGA) (tRNA-Ser-TGA-1-1)". It matches the Rfam family "tRNA". Rfam says of the family: Transfer RNA (tRNA) molecules are approximately 80 nucleotides in length. Lineage: Bacteria; Pseudomonadati; Pseudomonadota; Gammaproteobacteria; Legionellales; Coxiellaceae. RNAcentral also lists the same sequence under 1 other name. The record is from Rfam by way of RNAcentral.